RNAcentral lists this unclassified non-coding RNA (231 nucleotides) under uncultured fungus. RNAcentral's name for it is "sequence contains ITS1, 5.8S rRNA gene". The stretch from base 183 to 231 matches the Rfam family "5.8S ribosomal RNA", at positions 1 to 49 of the family's 154-position model. Lineage: Eukaryota; Fungi. The record is from RNAcentral.
UCUCCGUAGGUGAACCUGCGGAGGGAUCAUUACUGAGCGAGGGUCUAACCGCCCGACCUCCAACCCUGUGUGAACCCAUCUUGUUGCUUCGGGGGCGACCCUGCCGGCACUCUGUCGCCGGGCGCCCCCGAAGGUCUCCAAACACUGCAUCUUUGCGUCGGAGUUUAAAACAAAUUAAACAAAACUUUCAACAACGGAUCUCUUGGGUCUGGCAUCGAUGAAGAACGCAGC